Molecule: ribosomal RNA, 254 nt
Filed under: uncultured bacterium
Lineage: Bacteria
Description: partial 16S ribosomal RNA
Rfam family: Bacterial small subunit ribosomal RNA
Source: RNAcentral
UACGGGGGGGGCAAGCGUUGUUCGGAAUUACUGGGCGUAAAGGGCGCGUAGGCGGCCAGCACAAGUCAGUUGUGAAAUCUCCGAGCUUAACUCGGAAAGGUCAACUGAUACUGUGCGGCUAGAGUGCGGAAGGGGCAACUGGAAUUCUUGGUGUAGCGGUGAAAUGCGUAGAUAUCAAGAGGAACACCUGCGGCGAAGGCGGGUUGCUGGGCCGACACUGACGCUGAGGCGCGAAAGCCAGGGGAGCGAACGGG